GAGUUUGAUCCUGGCUCAGGACGAACGCUGGCGGCGUGCCUAAUACAUGCAAGUCGAGCGGACAGAUGGGAGCUUGCUCCCUGAUGUUAGCGGCGGACGGGUGAGUAACACGUGGGUAACCUGCCUGUAAGACUGGGAUAACUCCGGGAAACCGGGGCUAAUACCGGAUGGUUGUUUGAACCGCAUGGUUCAAACAUAAAAGGUGGCUUCGGCUACCACUUACAGAUGGACCCGCGGCGCAUUAGCUAGUUGGUGAGGUAACGGCUCACCAAGGCAACGAUGCGUAGCCGACCUGAGAGGGUGAUCGGCCACACUGGGACUGAGACACGGCCCAGACUCCUACGGGAGGCAGCAGUAGGGAAUCUUCCGCAAUGGACGAAAGUCUGACGGAGCAACGCCGCGUGAGUGAUGAAGGUUUUCGGAUCGUAAAGCUCUGUUGUUAGGGAAGAACAAGUACCGUUCGAAUAGGGCGGUACCUUGACGGUACCUAACCAGAAAGCCACGGGUAACUACGUGCCAGCAGCCGCGGUAAUACGUAGGUG
This 542-nucleotide ribosomal RNA is filed under the name Bacillus sp. LBBMA TR13. Its description in RNAcentral is "bacterial SSU rRNA". It matches the Rfam family "Bacterial small subunit ribosomal RNA", at positions 9 to 533 of the family's 1533-position model. The record is from RNAcentral. Lineage: Bacteria; Bacillati; Bacillota; Bacilli; Caryophanales; Bacillaceae.